GUGCGCCCCAAAGCUGACCGGUUGCGAGGCCGGGCGGCUGGGCCAUCUCAGCCCCCCGGGGCCACUGGAGGGCCGUCUCCACAGACCCGAGCAAGGGAGCUCCCUCACCACCACCCCGACCAGAGCCCUCGUCCACGUGUGAGACGCGGCUGGGGCCGAGGCUGGGGGCGGCGGCCGCGGGCGGACACGCCGGUCCGAGGAGCCGGGCCCUGCCGGCUGCCGAUGUAAACCUGCUCCCGAGAAGACAGAGCAGGGGCGACGCUGCCGAGGGGUGAGCACGGCCCAGGCGAGCACGCAGAGUCGGACGGAGGGCGGUGUGCGGGGCAAGUAGGGCUGACGGCCCUGAGCCUCGCCAGCCUCGGGGCGCUGAGAGCUGGGCCGCACCCCGGGUCCUCGGACUUUGCACACUACUGUCGUCCUGGGGCCACCAGGUACUCACCCGUCACUUCCUCCAAACACGCAGGAAAGGGUGUCCCGGUAUGCGGUGGUUUCCACCUUUCGCGAAGGCUCCCCUGCCCUGUGAUGGAGGCUCGGCGGUGGCGGGGGCUCCCCGUGGAGCCCGG
Molecule: non-coding RNA, 563 nt
Organism: Kogia breviceps (pygmy sperm whale)
Lineage: Eukaryota; Metazoa; Chordata; Mammalia; Artiodactyla; Physeteridae
Source: RefSeq, a predicted model, not a curated record